Molecule: long non-coding RNA, 3053 nt
Filed under: Sus scrofa (pig)
Lineage: Eukaryota; Metazoa; Chordata; Mammalia; Artiodactyla; Suidae
Description: lncRNA (ENSSSCG00060037795.1)
Source: RNAcentral
CUUUUUAAUAUGUCUUAGUAGACAGGUAAAUGGGAAUUCGUAAGCAUGUCCAUAAGGAGCUUUGGACCAACAUGAUUCAAAAUUGGCGUUUCAUUUCAUCUUUGAAAUUCUCAGUUAUUGUCAUCUGAAAAAAUAUCUUGUUUACAUCUCUACUAAACUUUCUCUUUUCCAUCUAAAUCAGUCUGGGUCAAAUCAGGAUAUAGAAACCAUAGACUAAUUUGAGGAGGGAAAAUAUAAGAUAAGGCAUCAUAGACUACAGCAGGAAACUGGAGUAAUGCAUGAUUGGCUAGUAAGCAGGACAGAAAGCUUUAUCUUUUUGUCUUUUUGUCUUUCCCAGAGCCACACCCGAAGCGUAUGGAGGUUCCCAGGCUAGGGGUCUAAUUGGAGUUGUAGUCGCCAGCCUACACCACAACCACAGCAACGCGGGAUCCGAGCCGCAUCUGCCACCUACAGCGCAGCUCUUGGCAACGCUAGAUCCUUAACCCACUGAGCGAGGCCAGGGAUCGAACCCUCAACCUCAUGGUUCCUAGUCAGAUUUUUUAACCACUGAGCCACGAUGGGAACUCCCAAGGACAGAAAACUUUAAAGAAUAAUAUAUCUAAUCACUUGUGAUAGAACAUGGUGGAGGAUAAUGUGAGAAGAGUGUGUAUAUAUGUAUGACUAGAUCAGUUUACUGUACAGCAGAAAUUGAUGAAACAUUGUAAAUCAACUACAAUAAUUUUUUAAAAAAUAAAAAUAAAUAAUAUAGGAGUAGCAAAUUUAUAAAAUAACAGUGGAAAUAAUAUAAUAUGCCACUACUCAGAAGGCUGAUAUAGCUGCCAGGUAAAAGUUAAUUCCACCCCAGAAAUGAGAUUCAGAUCUUGUUAGAGAGAUCAUAACUGUGACUCACUAUAUAAUAGGUAAGUUGCUGUAGAGAUAGCAGAACUUGCAGGAAAUCCUCUCUCUAGUAUGCCAGGAAAAGCUUUUCACAGGGAGGUAUCUCAUCAGAGAUAUUCACUACAAAAUUUUCCGAUGAGGUUGCUGGCAGAAGGUGCUGGCUUUGGGUGAUGAUAGGUACUGUAAAUUGAAGGAGCCAGGCACUGGGGAAACCAUGUGCACUGUAGGCAACUGAUGCUAGAGAAGGGCUCACAGGUGCUACACAGGGCUGCCAAGGGAGAAUACCCAAACCAGGAAGCAAAAUUAUUUUCUCUUGCAGUGUCUCUCCAUUACCCUUGACUGAUAAAACUUAUCAUCAUGGUAGCUGGCAGAGAAAAGAUAUAUUUGAAAGUCCAAGAUUCGUUUUUACAAUGAAUUUGUGAGCAGGCAAAAAGGGUGAAUUUAGUGCUAAAAGACAGUAGAUAAAUUACUUGAUAAAACCCUUUUCUGGCACUUCUUCCUUUGUCCAGGCAUGGAAAGGACAAAGAGCUUCCUCUCUAUACUUUGAAUUUUGGGCUUUCAUUUCUUAGCACUGUACAUAAGGAAAAUAACUUUGUUGCAUUGUAUGUUCCUUAACUGGCAAAGCAGCUGGAAUAUAGAAAGGACUCAACAAAUAUUUUUGACUUAAUGAGUGAAUGCUGAAUAAGGUAAUACCCAAGUCUAAAUCAUAACAUGAUGCUUUUCCCUAAGCUACUGGACACAUUCCCCUGAAUGACCUGCAUGUACUUCAAGCUGAACUCAUUGCUGUCCAGAUCUGCUCUGCUUUCUAUAUUCUCUGUGUGGGUAAGUGGUGCCACUUCUUGCACAGUGAAAUAGGUCAUUUCAUAUGUAAUUAGUCAAGUUAAUAUCAGGUUGUACCUAAAUUAAGUGCAUCUAUCAUGACCUAUUUCCAAAUAAGUUCACUUUCUGAUGUACUGGAGGGUUAGGUCUUCAGCAUACCUUUCUAGGGACACAAUUCAACCCAUAACAUGUGGGAAGCAAGACGGUUUUGAUAUGAAAGUUACAUGAUGUGACUAAAAAUACUUUUUCAACUACUGUGUUUAGAGACCAAAGGGCACAAAGUUGGAAGCAGGGAGACCAAUGAUGCCAGUUUUUUAUCAAAACCUUUAAAUACUACAGAUAGAAAUAAAAACAUUAAUUCCAAUAAUUCUUGAUUCUUUUUUUCUUUCAAACUCAUUAAAGUACAAAUGUUGAACAUUUAUAGUAAUGAGGUGAAAUGUCUGAUAAAAUCGUGGUUAUUGUUAUAAAUUCAGUUAAAUGGUUGACAUAUAGAAUAGAAUGAAGUGAUGCCAAGAAAACAAAUUUUGUUGCAGAAAAUUUGAGAUUAAAAUUGUUAAAUUAGGAGUUCCCGUCGUGGCUCAGUGGUUAACGAAUCCGACUAGGAACCAUGAGGUUGCGGGUUCGAUCCCUGCCCUUGCUCAGUGGGUUAAUGAUCCAGUGUUGCCGUGAGCUGUGGUGUGGGUCACAGACGCGGCUCGGAUCCCAUGUUGCUGUGGCUCUGGCGUAGGCCGGUGGCUACAACUCCAAUUAGACCCCUAGCCUGGGAGCCUCCAUAUGCCGUGGGAGAAGCCCAAGAAAUGGCAAAAAGACAAAAAGACCAAAAAAAAAAUGUUAAAUUACUACUGACUGUAGUCCAAGUAUUUGGUGUCAGAACUGGUAUUGAGUACAAAAAUGUCUUAUAGUGUAGGAAUGCUUUCUCUCUUUGAUGUUCAUGUAGAGAUAUUUGAGCCUUUGAUGAAUUACUUUGUAUGUGAAUAUAAAAGUCCUUUAAUAGUAUUGAAUGAUUUUGUACAAAACCUUCUAAAUUUUCUGUAUUUCUUUUUUAGUGAGGCAAUUGUUUAUUUAAAGAGAGAAGACAGGCAGGCUGGUGGUAAGGUGAAAAGGGAAAGAGAAAGAUGAGACAGAGAGAGAAAAAGCAAGAGAGGAAGAGAGAGGAAGAGCUAAUGCUUUCUCUCUUUGAUGUUCAUGUAGAGAUAUUUGAGCCUUUGAAGAAUUACUUUGUAAGUGAAUACAAAUGUCCCUUAAUAGUAUUGAAUAAUUUUUUACAAUUUUCUAAAUUUUGUAUAUUGUGUUCUCUAAGAUUUAGCAACAUUUUUAUUUUCAGAAAUCCUGGUUAACUUAUCUCUAACUUUAGACAU